CUACGUAUCCUCCAAGGGGAAGUGGAGCGCAUAUUGGUGUUUCGUCGUAUUCAUCUCUGGAAAUGAGGUGGAGCUAAGCCUUUGCGGAGAGGAGUCCCUUCCCCUUGACA
This 110-nucleotide non-coding RNA is filed under the name Amorphochlora amoebiformis. Lineage: Eukaryota; Cercozoa; Chlorarachniophyceae. The record is from RNAcentral.